RNAcentral lists this small RNA (587 nucleotides) under Pan troglodytes (chimpanzee). RNAcentral's name for it is "retained intron". The record is from RNAcentral. Lineage: Eukaryota; Metazoa; Chordata; Mammalia; Primates; Hominidae.
AAAUAGCAAAACCCAAAACAACAGCAGAUGAUAUCUUCCAAGUGUCUGCUCGGGACACGGCUUCAGCCCUCUGUGGUCCCCUCUCCCCGGGGGCUUUGGGAUUCUUGUCAAGCUCCUUCGAGAGCCUGCAAGCACUUAACCAGCCACCCAGAGUUCCCUCACUGAAGAUCUGAGCAUGACCCGGGACGAGGCACUGCCGGACUCUCAUUCUGCACAGGACUUCUAUGAGAAUUAUGAGCCCAAAGAGAUCCUGGGCAGGGGCGUUAGCAGUGUGGUCAGGCGAUGCAUCCACAAGCCCACGAGCCAGGAGUACGCCGUGAAGGUCAUCGAUGUCACCGGUGGAGGCAGCUUCAGCCCGGAGGAGGUGCGGGAGCUGCGAGAAGCCACGCUGAAGGAGGUGGACAUCCUGCGCAAGGUCUCGGGGCACCCCAACAUCAUACAGCUGAAGGACACUUAUGAGACCAACACUUUCUUCUUCUUGGUGUUUGACCUGUAAGUACCCAGCACUGGAGCAAGCCACACCUGAGAGAACCUCCGACUGUUGUCCCCUCCCCAACCCCAGGGCUGCCUGGAGACCACAGCCAGCU